Molecule: RNA transcript, 4736 nt
Organism: Triticum aestivum (bread wheat)
Lineage: Eukaryota; Viridiplantae; Streptophyta; Magnoliopsida; Poales; Poaceae
Exons: 12
Source: RefSeq, a predicted model, not a curated record
UUGGCCUGGUGUAUGUAUGACGGUGGGCCAAACUUCGGCGCCUGGGACGCGUGUCUUCGCCGUGGUGGUGGGUCUGCUCCCAUGCCCUGCUGUUGGCUCUGCUACGGAGAGGCGGAGAGGUCGCGCACACCCCUUUCCUCCUUUAAACAUCUUUCCUUCCUGCUCCUUUUCUCUCUCCCGCUCUCCAUUCUCGCUGUCCAUCAUUCACCUGCUUCGCCACACCACAUUUCACUUCCUCUCUAGCUCGCUGCAUGUGCCUGUUGUUCUUCGCCAUCCGUGUGCGUGCCCGUUGUGAUGGCGUGCCUGCGUGCGGUCGAUGCUGCUGGUUGAGCUGAAAUCCUCUCUGUGCUGUCUCCUGCGCCAACCGGUGCGCCAUUCUGCCGUCUGCAUUGAGGUUGUUCGUCUGCCAUUCCGCCUUCAUUUGCUGUCCUGGUUGUUGUUCUUAAUCCUGGUUUGAAGAGCUGCUCUGUUUCUGCAUCUUCACCUGCGACUUGCUACUGGUGCUGAAGGUUUUCUCUCCUUUUACACCGCAUGCGAUUUCUUUCUGACUCAAGAUAUAUUUAUUUUUCUACAUGCUGUUUUUUUACUGAUUGUUUUGUUGUGCCAGAUUUGUCUGGGGGUCGUGUUAUUUUUCAGUUUUGUGUGACUUUCGUUUCAUGUUUAUAUUUGGUGAUUGCGUGUGAGCAGGAUGUGUGCUCUUAUUUCGACCGUUAUACCUGUUUGGAAGCCGUGGUGGCUCGGUGUGCUUUGCCAGCGCUUUCGUACCUAUGUGAGAUCGCAGAGGAUGGGUUCAUUCUUGCUGGGGUAGAACUGGAACUUCCAGGGGAUGGUUCUGGUCCAGUUCCAUGAAGAGAGUUUUUUUGGAGCUCGGCCUGGUGUGGUUUUGUCCAUGCCUAUGAACAAGCUGCCCUCCAGGCCAUAAGAUUUUUACAGGGUUUAUAUGGGUUUGUGGUGAGAGACUAUAAUUAUGAUUGUAUGAUGGCCUAUAGGAGUUCCCUUCGUUCUUCCAUGACAGUUGCGGUCUCUGCCGUUCGGCAUGUUGAGCGCUUGGAGAGGGAGCUAUUGCGCUUGCGAUAUGCUUCUACGAAUAUAGAGAUUAGCCCAGAUAUUACCCCUCUUCUAGCCCACUUCGAUUGGGCUUUGUUGUGCUCGCAUCUACUUUCCUCUCUUCGUUCUCUUUAGCUUUCUUCUAUUGAAUGUUUAUUUAGGACCAUGUGCCUGCUUUGUACUUGAUAGUUAAUGAUUCCUCUGAUGCAAUAAAGUAGAUAGUUAAUGAUUCCUCGGAUGCAAUAAAGUCUGGACUUUUUAUAUUUAAUGUGGCUGCCCUGAGGGCCUUGCUGUACCUGCACACCAGCAUUGUUGUUGUUGCCUGUGUUGUCCCUUUGGGCCGCGUUGUCUUUUGUGAGCAGGUGAUUCUUCCUGGGCUUUUCAGAGGAUGUUUCUUGCAUUUGCCUUUUUGGGCUUUCUCUGUAUCUUAUCUAUGUUUUCCUAUCUUUUUAUCUUAAAAACACUGUCCUCUUUGCAUGUCUGCAGGAAAAAACUUGUGUGCUUUUUCUUGGGGUUGCUUUUGGCUGCCUUUCCCUUUCAUUGGAGACUAGGAUGAGAUCUACAGGGUUUUGUUUGUUGGGGCUUGCUUCUUGGUUUAGGUCUGUAUCUUCUUCUGUUGUUAGAAAACAGAGUAUGGUUUUCGUAGGUUACAGAGAUUUACAGGGUUUUGUUAGUUGAUGCUUGCUACUUAUGUUCUUUGUUUCAUUCAUCGUGUUACGUUUCUGUUGCAGUAUCUCGCAGUCGUUCUUCAUGUCAUUUGUCUGAAUAUCAUGCCUCCAUGUCGUUCUAUUCGUCUUAAGGCCGAUUCGAACAGCCAUCAGGCACCUCCAUGCCGUGUUGUUCAACAAAAACUAUCUUUCUGUGGACCGCCGUUACCUUACAUAUCCUCUGGGCUACCCAAAAGGAAAUGCAUGAAAUCCUCUUUCGAGUUGGAUUUCUUUUAGUUUACUGGUGUGCCUUCUGCACGCUCUUGCUCUCUCUUCCUAGUUGUGACAUUGCCUCCAUUUUUUUAGAUGAUGGUUUCUUCCCCGUUCUUAGUCCAGAAAUUUCGGCCCGUAAUAGAAAGAGAUGCAGGGUGAUCAUCGAUGGGCUUAGGGGACAAGGGCCUGUCAUUCGGUCACCCUUAGGCACUAAUUGGGCCGGGUUCACGCCCGAGGAGUCUGAGAUGUUAAAAGUUGGGUACCGAAAGAGAUCUUUCUAUGGUGGCCCAGACUACAAGUGUCCCAGAUGUGAGGCAGUCUUCUGGUUCGAGGAGAGAGUGAAGUCAGAGUCCGCUAUCACACGAAGGCGGAUGGUUUACAACAAAUGUUGCAAGGGUGGUAAGGUGUAUAUUACACCUUUUAAAAAGCCACCCUUGUUCCUCUCUGAAUUGCUGAGAUACAAUUGUCCUCCGCGUAGCAAAGAUUUUAUAAAAAAGAUAUGCCAGUACAACUGUCUCUUUGUGUUUACUUCUAUGGGGACUACUGUUGAUCGCUCAAUAAAUGAUGGUAAUGGCCCAAAUAUAUACAAAAUAAAUGAUCAGGUUUGCCAUCGAACGGGGUCUCUUAUGCCUAAGAAAGGAAACACCCCAAAGUAUGCUGAAUUGUAUAUAUAUGAUACCCAGAAUAAGAUAAAAAACAUGAUUCAGGCUUUGGACAAGGGUGAAAAGGGUAAUGGUGCUUUAGACAAGUCUAUUGUUGAAGGGUUGAUGCACAUGCUUGAUGCGCACAAUUCUUUUGUCAAAACAUUUCGAUCAGCUAGGGAAAUAUUAGAAGCCAAUAAACAUGCUGAAAUAGCCAUAUGUUUAAUUGCCCCUGGAGAAUCUGAUAGUCCACAGUUUAGUCUUCCUACCACCGAUGAGCUUGCAUCUUUGAUGUUUGGUGAGUUUACGGUAGAAACUUCUUGUCAUGACAUAAUAAUACAUGGUAGGGAUGACAAUCUGCAACAAAUAUCUUCUUUGCAAACUUCAUAUAUGCCUUUGCAGUAUCCUCUUCUCUUCCCCUAUGCCGAGCGUGGGUUUCAGCUUGGGAUUAGAUAUAUUGGUUCAGACCCCCUUGAUACAACCAAAAGAACUAGGCUUACCAUGCAGGAUUAUUAUUCCUAUUGUCUCCACUACAGACCAGAGCAACAUAAUCCAUACCUUUGUUGUGGUUUGCUCUCCCCACAGGCCAUUGUAGAUGCACGCGCUUGCAUAGAUGAGUGGAGAUUGCAUUUUAUCAUGAAGGCUAACAAUGAUCUUAGAGCAGAAAACUUGCAAGGGGUUACUGAUGCUGUUGGAAAAGGGCAGACAGAUGCAGGUUCUGUUGGCAAGAAAAACAUACUUCCAUCAUCUUUUACCGGUGGCCGCCGUUAUAUGGUUGAGAACUUCCAAGAUGCGAUAGCUAUUUCGCGUGUAUUUGGCCCACCAGACCUUUUCACCACCUUCACCUAUAAUCCCAAGUGGGGUGAAAUAGCUGAGGCCUUGUCAUCUGAGCCUGGGCAAAUGCCUUCGGAUCGAGCUGAUCUUCUAGUUAGGGUUUAUCACAUGAAGCUAAAUGACUAUCUUCAUGAUAUCAAGUCUGGGGAGGCAUUUGGCCCUGUUGUAGCUGUCCUGCAUACUGUAGAGUUUCAGAAAAGAGGGCUUCCUCAUGCUCAUAUCCUGAUCUUGCUUGAUAGGAAGAAGCGGGAGAUGGCGCAUCAAAUGCUUUCUGAGAUACACAACCACAGCAGGAAACGGGUUGUCUUUGUCCUUGUAUCUCACCUCUGGUUCUAGCGUGGAGGAACUGACAAUGGACCCAUCCAACACAUGGAUUUGGUUGUUCUUGAUAGCCAGGGCAAUCAUAUGUACGUGCAGAUACCGCCUCAGGCAGCAGAACGCCUGCAGCAUGAGCUAGAAGAAGGAAAGGUCUACAUGAUGACUAAGUUCAACUGCAUUAAGUCAAAGCCUACCUUUAGGGCUGUUGAGAGCCUAUACAUGAUCUAGUUCACCAGGUUCAGUGAUACAGUGCUUCGCCCAGGCUUGUAGGCAGACUACCCAUUUUGUACCUAUAAUCUGGUCUCAUUUGAAGACAUUCCCAGGCCAGGUGGUCGUCCUGUCCGUUUUCUUGAUGUCAUUGGAAGGAUAACUACUGUUUCUGAUGUGAUCCCUAUCCAAUCAUCACACCAGCCAGAACCAUCAAACACAAGGACGAAUCCUCACUGACUUACAAUGAGGGCCAGGAGCUAAGGCUGGUCCUCUGGGGUGACCGCGCAGUUGAAUUUGAAGCAGAGGCAGUGCACGCAAGGGACAAAAAGUAGGCUGUCAUUGCAAUUUUCGUGGGAACAUUGCCUAAGAUGAAUCAAGGUGUUAAAGGACUUAGCGGUAGUUCUGCCUGUCGCUGGUACAUCGAUGAGGAUUUGCCUGUUAUAAAUGACUUCCGCAACAGGCUUGGAACUAAUUUUACACCUAUUGAUGUCAAUGCUGCUAUUGAUGGAGGGUCGCUUCCUGCUCGUAUCUAUGAUGCUCCGGUCGAAAUGACUGUGUCAGAACUCCUUAAGCUCGACCCUUAUGAGAGCGGGCUAUGUUUAUUCUCUUCUCAUGCUUUCCAGAUGUUCCUUUUUACUUUUGUUGUUUAUGUACCCAAUACUGAAUGAUGUUGUUUACACAAGAAAAAAGGUUCAUCUGCACCGUUACAGUCCAAAGGCUUACUCCUGAUCAGUGCUAGUGGUUCUUCUCUUGCUCUUCCUACAGC